This 63-nucleotide transfer RNA is filed under the name Menglacris maculata. RNAcentral's name for it is "tRNA-Asp". The record is from RNAcentral. Lineage: Eukaryota; Metazoa; Arthropoda; Insecta; Orthoptera; Acrididae.
AAGGUGUUAGUUAAAUUAUAACAUUAGAAUGUCAACCUAAAAUAACUAAAUUAGUACACCUUG